GAUGAACGCUGGCGGCGUGCCUAAUACAUGCAAGUCGAGCGAACGGACGAGAAGCUUGCUUCUCUGAUGCUAGCGGCGGACGGGUGAGUAACACGUGGAUAACCUACCUAUAAGACUGGGAUAACUUCGGGAAACCGGAGCUAAUACCGGAUAAUAUUUUGAACCGCAUGGUUCAAAAGUGAAAGACGGUCUUGCUGUCACUUAUAGAUGGAUCCGCGCUGCAUUAGCUAGUUGGUAAGGUAACGGCUUACCAAGGCAACGAUGCAUAGCCGACCUGAGAGGGUGAUCGGCCACACUGGAACUGAGACACGGUCCAGACUCCUACGGGAGGCAGCAGUAGGGAAUCUUCCGCAAUGGGCGAAAGCCUGACGGAGCAACGCCGCGUGAGUGAUGAAGGUCUUCGGAUCGUAAAACUCUGUUAUUAGGGAAGAACAUAUGUGUAAGUAACUGUGCACAUCUUGACGGUACCUAAUCAGAAAGCCACGGCUAACUACGUGCCAGCAGCCGCGGUAAUACGUAGGUGGCAAGCGUUAUCCGGAAUUAUUGGGCGUAAAGCGCGCGUAGGCGGUUUUUUAAGUCUGAUGUGAAAGCCCACGGCUCAACCGUGGAGGGUCAUUGGAAACUGGAAAACUUGAGUGCAGAAGAGGAAAGUGGAAUUCCAUGUGUAGCGGUGAAAUGCGCAGAGAUAUGGAGGAACACCAGUGGCGAAGGCGACUUUCUGGUCUGUAACUGACGCUGAUGUGCGAAAGCGUGGGGAUCAAACAGGAUUAGAUACCCUGGUAGUCCACGCCGUAAACGAUGAGUGCUAAGUGUUAGGGGGUUUCCGCCCCUUAGUGCUGCAGCUAACGCAUUAAGCACUCCGCCUGGGGAGUACGACCGCAAGGUUGAAACUCAAAGGAAUUGACGGGGACCCGCACAAGCGGUGGAGCAUGUGGUUUAAUUCGAAGCAACGCGAAGAACCUUACCAAAUCUUGACAUCCUUUGACAACUCUAGAGAUAGAGCCUUCCCCUUCGGGGGACAAAGUGACAGGUGGUGCAUGGUUGUCGUCAGCUCGUGUCGUGAGAUGUUGGGUUAAGUCCCGCAACGAGCGCAACCCUUAAGCUUAGUUGCCAUCAUUAAGUUGGGCACUCUAAGUUGACUGCCGGUGACAAACCGGAGGAAGGUGGGGAUGACGUCAAAUCAUCAUGCCCCUUAUGAUUUGGGCUACACACGUGCUACAAUGGACAAUACAAAGGGCAGCGAAACCGCGAGGUCAAGCAAAUCCCAUAAAGUUGUUCUCAGUUCGGAUUGUAGUCUGCAACUCGACUACAUGAAGCUGGAAUCGCUAGUAAUCGUAGAUCAGCAUGCUACGGUGAAUACGUUCCCGGGUCU
RNAcentral lists this ribosomal RNA (1372 nucleotides) under uncultured bacterium. RNAcentral describes it as "bacterial SSU rRNA". It matches the Rfam family "Bacterial small subunit ribosomal RNA", at positions 28 to 1381 of the family's 1533-position model. The record is from RNAcentral.